GAUGAACGCUGGCGGCGUGCUUAACACAUGCAAGUCGAACGGGAUCCCAGGAGCUUGCUCCUGGGUGAGAGUGGCGAACGGGUGAGUAAUGCGUGACCGACCUGCCCCAUACUCCGGAAUAGCUCCUGGAAACGGGUGGUAAUGCCGGAUGCUCCAGUUGACCGCAUGGUCCUCUGGGAAAGCUUUUGCGGUAUGGGAUGGGGUCGCGUCCUAUCAGCUUGAUGGCGGGGUAACGGCCCACCAUGGCUUCGACGGGUAGCCGGCCUGAGAGGGCGACCGGCCACAUUGGGACUGAGAUACGGCCCAGACUCCUACGGGAGGCAGCAGUGGGGAAUAUUGCACAAUGGGCGCAAGCCUGAUGCAGCGACGCCGCGUGCGGGAUGACGGCCUUCGGGUUGUAAACCGCUUUUGACUGGGAGCAAGCCCUUCGGGGUGAGUGUACCUUUCGAAUAAGCACCG
This 459-nucleotide ribosomal RNA is filed under the name uncultured bacterium. Its description in RNAcentral is "bacterial SSU rRNA". It matches the Rfam family "Bacterial small subunit ribosomal RNA", at positions 28 to 495 of the family's 1533-position model. The record is from RNAcentral.